RNAcentral lists this ribosomal RNA (896 nucleotides) under uncultured bacterium. RNAcentral describes it as "bacterial SSU rRNA". It matches the Rfam family "Bacterial small subunit ribosomal RNA", at positions 8 to 916 of the family's 1533-position model. The record is from RNAcentral.
AGAGUUUGAUCAUGGCUCAGAGUGAACGCUGGCGGCGUGCCUAACACAUGCAAGUCGAGCGAGUCCUGCAGCACACCGCAGGAUGAGCGGCAGACGGGUGAGUAAUACGUAGGGAACCUGCCCUGAAAUGGGGAAUACCCUCGAGAAAUCGAGGCUAAUACCGCAUAAGACCACAACCUGUAAUCAGGAAGGGGUCAAAGGCCCGCAAGGGUCGUUUUGGGAUGGUCCUGCGUCCUAUCAGCUAGUUGGUGAGGUAACGGCCCACCAAGGCUAUGACGGGUAUCCGGCCUGAAAGGGCGAUCGGACACACUGGAACUGAGACACGGUCCAGACUCCUACGGGAGGCAGCAGUGGGGAAUUUUGGACAAUGGGCGAAAGCCUGAUCCAGCGACGCCGCGUGGAGGAUGAAGGUCUUCGGAUUGUAAACUCCUUUUGGAGGGGACGAAAACUGACGGUACCCUCAGAAAAAGCCACGGCUAACUACGUGCCAGCAGCCGCGGUAAUACGUAGGUGGCGAGCGUUACUCGGAAUUACUAGGCGUAAAGCGCAUGUAGGUGGUUGGAUAAGUCUGUAGUGAAAUUUCCCGGCUCAACUGGGAAGGGUCUACAGAAACUAUCUGGCUUGAGUGUGGCAGGGGGAGACGGAAUUCCCGGUGUAGCGGUGAAAUGCGUAGAUGUCGGGAGGAACACCAAUGGCGAAAGCAGUCUCCUGGGCCAAUACUGACGCUGAGAUGCGAAAGCUAGGGGAGCAAACAGGAUUAGAUACCCUGGUAGUCCUAGCUGUAAACGAUGUUCACUAGAUGUGGGAGGUAUCGACCCCUUCCGCGUCGACGCUAACGCAUUAAGUGAACCGCCUGGGGAGUACGGCCGCAAGGUUGAACUCAAAGGAAUUGACGG